Molecule: long non-coding RNA, 176 nt
Organism: Oreochromis niloticus (Nile tilapia)
Lineage: Eukaryota; Metazoa; Chordata; Actinopteri; Cichliformes; Cichlidae
Exons: 2
Source: RefSeq, a predicted model, not a curated record
ACGAUCGGUGACGGCAGAAAGAGGAAACCCAACACGAUCACAGACUACAACCACAUGAAGUGUGGUGUAGACGUGUUGGACCAAAUGACAUGGAUGUAUUCUGUAAGAUCAGCAACACGCAGGUGGCCAGUAGCGGUUUUCUACAAUAUGCUGGACCUGGCGGCAGUGAAUGCCUA